Triticum aestivum (bread wheat) is the source of this 125-nucleotide non-coding RNA. The record is from Rfam. Lineage: Eukaryota; Viridiplantae; Streptophyta; Magnoliopsida; Poales; Poaceae.
UUACUAUUCCCUCCGUCCGGAAAUACUUGUCAUCAAAAUGAAUAAAAGGGGAUGUAUCUAGAUGUAUUUUAGUUCUACAUACAUUCAUUUUGAUGACAAGUGUUUUCGGACGGAGCUAGUAGUAA